Molecule: ribosomal RNA, 253 nt
Filed under: uncultured Acidobacteriota bacterium
Lineage: Bacteria; Pseudomonadati; Acidobacteriota
Description: uncultured Acidobacteria bacterium partial 16S ribosomal RNA
Rfam family: Bacterial small subunit ribosomal RNA
Source: RNAcentral
UACGUAGGCAGCAAGCGUUGUUCGGAAUUACUGGGCGUAAAGAGUCUGUAGGCGGUGCUUUAAGUUUGGUGUGAAAUCUCCCGGCUCAACUGGGAGGGUGCGCCGAAAACUGGAGUGCUCGAGUAUGGGAGAGGUAAGCGGAAUUCCUGGUGUAGCGGUGAAAUGCGUAGAUAUCAGGAGGAACACCUGUGGUGUAGACAGCUUACUGGACCAUCACUGACGCUGAGAGACGAAAGCGUGGGUAGCAAACAGG